This 254-nucleotide ribosomal RNA is filed under the name uncultured bacterium. RNAcentral's name for it is "partial 16S ribosomal RNA". It matches the Rfam family "Bacterial small subunit ribosomal RNA", at positions 524 to 776 of the family's 1533-position model. The record is from RNAcentral.
UACGUAGGGUGCAAGCGUUAAUCGGAAUUACUGGGCGUAAAGCGUGCGCAGGCGGUUUUGUAAGUCUGUUGUGAAAUCCCCCGGGCUCAACCUGGGAAUUGCGAUGGAGACUGCAAGGCUAGAAUCUGGCAGAGGGGGGUAGAAUUCCACGUGUAGCAGUGAAAUGCGUAGAGAUGUGGAGGAACACCGAUGGCGAAGGCAGCCCCCUGGGUCAAGAUUGACGCUCAUGCACGAAAGCGUGGGGAGCAAACAGG